RNAcentral lists this ribosomal RNA (528 nucleotides) under uncultured bacterium. RNAcentral's name for it is "bacterial SSU rRNA". It matches the Rfam family "Bacterial small subunit ribosomal RNA", at positions 981 to 1509 of the family's 1533-position model. The record is from RNAcentral.
UCGAAGUGGAGUGGACUGGGGUAGAAAUAUCCCUUCCUAGCAAUAGGCUGCUCUAUAGGUGCUGCAUGGCUGUCGUCAGCUCGUGUCGUGAGAUGUUGGGUUAAGUCCCGCAACGAGCGCAACCCUUAUUACCAGUUGCCAUCAUUCAGUUGGGCACUCUGGUGAGACCGCCUCGGAUAACGGGGAGGAAGGCGGGGAUGACGUCAAGUCCUCAUGGCCUUUAUGUCCAGGGCUACACACGUGCUACAAUGGCCGGUACAAACCGUCGCAAACCCGUGAGGGGGAGCUAAUCGGAAAAAGCCGGCCUCAGUUCGGAUUGUAGUCUGCAACUCGACUACAUGAAGCUGGAAUCGCUAGUAAUCGCGGAUCAGAAUGCCGCGGUGAAUACGUUCCCGGGCCUUGUACACACCGCCCGUCACAUCACGAAAGUGGGUUGUACUAGAAGUCGGUGAGCCAACCGCAAGGGGGCAGCCGCCCAAGGUGUAAUUCAUGAUUGGGGUGAAGUCGUAACAAGGUAGGCGUACUACA